Molecule: ribosomal RNA, 253 nt
Filed under: uncultured bacterium
Lineage: Bacteria
Description: partial 16S ribosomal RNA
Rfam family: Bacterial small subunit ribosomal RNA
Source: RNAcentral
UACGUAGGGUGCGAGCGUUAAUCGGAAUCACUGGGCGUAAAGGGUGCGUAGGCGGGACUUUAAGUCAGGGGUGAAAUCCUGGAGCUCAACUCCAGAACUGCCUUUGAUACUGAAGAUCUUGAGUUCGGGAGAGGUGAGUGGAACUGCGAGUGUAGAGGUGAAAUUCGUGGAUAUUCGCAAGAACACCAGUGGCGAAGGCGGCUCACUGGCCCGAUACUGACGCUGAGGCACGAAAGCGUGGGGAGCAAACAGG